RNAcentral lists this ribosomal RNA (495 nucleotides) under uncultured bacterium. RNAcentral's name for it is "partial 16S ribosomal RNA". It matches the Rfam family "Bacterial small subunit ribosomal RNA", at positions 29 to 506 of the family's 1533-position model. The record is from RNAcentral.
ACGAACGCUGGCGGCGUGCCUAAUACAUGCAAGUAGAACGCUGAAGAGAGGAGCUUGCUCUUCUUGGAUGAGUUGCGAACGGGUGAGUAACGCGUAGGUAACCUGCCUUGUAGCGGGGGAUAACUAUUGGAAACGAUAGCUAAUACCGCAUAACAAUGGAUGUCACAUGUCAUUUAUUUGAAAGGGGCAAUUGCUCCACUACAAGAUGGACCUGCGUUGUAUUAGCUAGUAGGUGAGGUAAUGGCUCACCUAGGCGACGAUACAUAGCCGACCUGAGAGGGUGAUCGGCCACACUGGGACUGAGACACGGCCCAGACUCCUACGGGAGGCAGCAGUAGGGAAUCUUCGGCAAUGGGGGCAACCCUGACCGAGCAACGCCGCGUGAGUGAAGAAGGUUUUCGGAUCGUAAAGCUCUGUUGUAAGUCAAGAACGGGUGUGAGAGUGGAAAGUUCACACUGUGACGGUAGCUUACCAGAAAGGGACGGCUAACUACGU